UGGAGGAAGGAGGCCACAAACCUAGAAGC
Molecule: non-coding RNA, 29 nt
Filed under: Homo sapiens (human)
Lineage: Eukaryota; Metazoa; Chordata; Mammalia; Primates; Hominidae
Source: RNAcentral